GGAUGUGAGGGCGAUCUGGCUGUGACAUCUGUCACCCCAUUGAUCGCCAGGGUUGAUUCAGCUGAUCUGGCUGGCUAGGCAGGCGUCCCCUUCCUCCCUCCAUGCUCCAUCUGCGUUCCUCCCGAAGCUGCAGAUGACCUUCCCCGAUAGAGGAGGACCGUUCUUCAGUCAAGGGUAUACGAGUAGCCGUGCUCCCUCCUAGAACCUCCAAACAAGCUGUCAAAGUGUAUGUAACAUCAUAAAUGAGGAUUGUGCUGUCUGCC
RNAcentral lists this small nuclear RNA (263 nucleotides) under Prolemur simus (greater bamboo lemur). RNAcentral describes it as "7SK RNA (ENSPSMG00000019229.1)". It matches the Rfam family "7SK RNA", at positions 1 to 277 of the family's 331-position model. Rfam says of the family: 7SK was discovered as an abundant small nuclear RNA in the mid-70s but a possible function has only recently been suggested. Two independent studies have found that 7SK RNA binds the CDK9/cyclin T complex (known as elongation factor P-TEFb). P-TEFb activates transcription by phosphorylating the C-terminal domain of RNA polymerase II. The record is from RNAcentral. Lineage: Eukaryota; Metazoa; Chordata; Mammalia; Primates; Lemuridae.